Molecule: RNA transcript, 4909 nt
Organism: Myxocyprinus asiaticus (Chinese sucker)
Lineage: Eukaryota; Metazoa; Chordata; Actinopteri; Cypriniformes; Catostomidae
Gene: lrtm1
Gene name: leucine-rich repeat and transmembrane domain-containing protein 1
Exons: 4
Source: RefSeq, a predicted model, not a curated record
GUCACUCAGUGAUGUCAGAGCAGUUCAGCACAACGCUGUGUGUGUGUGUUUGCGUUAGGCCCUUGACAGUGAGUGUGUCUUUUCUGUGUGUGUGUACGGACGAUGCAAUGAAUGAGAAGAUGGUAAAGAGUAAAACAUGAAGAUAUUUGCAUAUAUGUACAUAUAUAGAGAACGAAAAAGAGAGAGAAGAAAAUGGCUGCCAUCCAGUAACACAAGUUCUUGUUAACGUGUUCUCUGAGCUUUGAAAACACGGAUACGAUAUGCCGAACGUACCCUGGACACACUGACUGGAAGAUCGCUCUAAGAACCAUGAUAGCAGGUGUGGUGUUUGCAUUAUCCAGCCUGUUGUUACUUCAGGCAGUCUCCUCUUGCCCCAAGGAGUGUUCAUGUGACACUCACACCAAAGUGGUGGACUGCCGGGGACGAGGAUUGUACGAUAUUCCUCAUAAGAUCCAACAAGACACAACAGAGCUAUAUCUCCAAAACAACCGCAUCCGAGGCCUCAGCUCCAUGUCUUUCCAAGAGACACCUCAACUCCAAAUUCUGGAUCUGGCCAACAAUUCAAUCACUACACUUUCCCCCAGUGCCUUUCUGGGACUCAGAGGCCUGAAAAUGCUCAUUCUGGCCAAUAACUCUAUUCGGGAGGUGGACCGGCGCCUUCUGGUUUCAAUAAGAAACCUAACCCUCUUGGACCUGUCCCAUAACAGCUUAGGAGGUCUACCAGGAGCUCUUGCUGAUAGCUUCCACCAUCUGACCCACCUAUCCCUGCACUACAAUCGGCUGACCAAGCUGGACCGUACACACCUGGAGUCUCUUGGGAAUCUGAAAGUUCUUCAUCUGAAGGGUAAUCCCUGGAGAUGUGACUGUCAUCUGAUAGGACUCAAGCUAUGGCUGGAGACAUUUGCCUUCAAAGGUGGAGCAGUUGACAGCAUCACAUGUGUCCAGCCUCACGUCAUGCUGCAGCGAGACCUUCGUCAAGUUCCCUACGAGCUCUUCCAUGCCUGCAUGAUCACCAGCUACAGCUACCUGUUCGCCAACAUCCACUACCUGGACAACAAGCACCGCACGCUCAGCGGACAGCUCCACCCAAGCCCCAGAGCUCCAUCCAGCAGCGAUUUUAGCCCUCAGGGUGAGGUGGCGCUCCCAGAGUGCGAGAUCAAGCAGCGACCGCGGCCUGUGAACUACAGACAUGCUAUAGCUACAGUGGUCAUCACAGGAGUGGUGUGUGGGAUCGUAUUUCUGAUGAUGCUAGCGGCAGCAGUCUACGGAUGCGCGUACGCAGCAAUCAACGCAAAGUAUCAAAGAGAGCUGAAGAAGAAAGCCAUGGAGGCGAGCAGAGGAGAAGAACGAAAGAACAUUGAGAGAGAGGAGAAAGAGCCACUAGAGUGACGCAAACAUCAUACAAUGCACAUUAAGCACAAAUACACACAGGGAGGCCAGUGACCAGAUAUAGUUGUGCAUCUACAAAGUCCCAAGUGGCACAAAUGCAGUUGGCAACACCUCUGGGCAGCUAUUUUCCAGUCAUACAAGUACAGCUAAUAUCUACUUGAAUGGGGAAAGACUGAAAUCUCCAAAACUGUAGUCCAGACAAUAUUUCAAGUCAAAUUAGCAAUAAUGGUAUCAUUGCUGCUUCUAGCUUUGCUUUUUUAGCUAUUAAUAGGAGAAAUUUAAACUGAUCCAAAGUCUCUUAUUCCUCCACUGCUGUUUAUACAUUUUCAAAUUGUUGGUAAGGCAAUACAGUUUCUACAGAGCUCUUGUAAGGCCAAAGAAACAUAUGAACAUAUCAGUUUAACCUGUUUUUUUGUUUUGUUUGUUUUUUGUUUUUUUGUUUUGUUUAAACAGGAACAAAUCUAACCUGUCUUUGUUCAGUGCGCAUAUUUAAAAGUGAAGUGUGUAAUUGUUUUGAUUUUAAAAUUAGUAGUCAAUUGAUAUUGAUUUUUCAGAGGGCAGUGCUUAUAAAGAUAUCUAAUUAAGCAGAGAUAACGCUAAUAUAACUGUAAGGUGACUUCCUGAAGGGUGUAACCACUGUGUCAUUUUCAAAACAUUGAUCUGGAUGUUUGAGUUGUCUGAUAUGUCAGCUUUUGACUCAACCAAUUGCAUGAGUUGUCUGACGCCUUUUUGUCUGACCAAAGGCAUACGGAUAUGAAUGGUGGAGUUUUGGUCAUGUGAGUGGUCGCUGCAGAGCUCUUUUGGCAUGCUUUGUUCGCCUGCUUUGUUUACAGUCCGUCAAGGGUGUGAGUGGCUGCCGCAGAGCUCUUUUGCUGUGAUUUGUUACUGAUUGGUGGAUCUUUCUUUGGAGGAUUAUGGGUAAUGUAGUUCUUAAAAAGGAAAUCUGUGCUCAAACACUAAGUUGAAAUAACACGGACGGAUAGCUUCAACAGAAGCAUGUACCAUCGAUUAACAACCUUAAAGCUCACGGUAGGUCUGCCUUGAAAGAUGUAUAAUUAUUCACUAAAAAUCAAUUCUGCAAAUGAGAAAAUGAAGUUGGAUUUUUACUUCCGGAAUUAGACUGUUAUGCUCUAUUCCACUGGUGCCACAAGUGGCAAAGAAAUUAUACACUGCCGCUUUAAGAAGCAGUAUUUACAUAUGGACAAACUACACUGGUUUUAACAACAUGUAACAAGUAGUAUUUCAUUUAUAGUUUAUUGAAGGAUUUAAUAAUUGGCAUAUCCGUUAAUAACAAGUCAUGGUGGCAGCUCCUAAUGUAUGUGUCUGGUCUCAAUCUGUGAUUCUGUAAGAGUAUUGUAUAAGAAGCUCUGUAAACAUACUGGUACAAACAGUGGAUAAAGAGAUUUUGAGAAUUAGAAUAACAUAAAUUUUGGUGAGUGAAGGAGGCAGUGAUCUAGGAAGCUUAUGCUGUGAUUUACAGGAUUAUAUAACAGGCUCCUCCUUAACUUGAUCUGUCAGAAUAUAUCUACUUAAUAUCAGAGUACACAGCCAACCAGUAAUUGGGUAGUUGACAUGAAACACUUGUGAAAAGUUGAAAUGUCCUGUGGUAAGAUGUGCUAUACUCCAUCUAAAAUUAUAUUAAACAGUAUUUUGCUAAUUCUCACAUAUAUGCAGUUUUGUGACCUCAUAUAAUUGGAGAAACCAUAUACAAGUAUUUGUAAUUUAAAAAAUGCACUCUCUCUCUCUCUCUCUCUCUCUCUCUCUCUCUCACACACACACACACACACACACACACACGUGUAACUGAAUUUAAGUUCACAUCAUGGCUGUUGACAGUUGAGGAUGAAGAAUCAUGUCGGACUUAAAAAGCAUGUCACGCACAAGCGCAUAUAUGGCGCAGUUACACAAUCAUUUACUGUCAUCAACAUCUCAGGCUGCAUUACUGAUGAAACACGCAUAUGGGGAAGAAACGCAGUGAGGAUGCCAACAAAUGAAACACUGUCUUUUCAAAGAGUGUUAAUCUAUUUUUAAUGUUAUUUUUCUGUUCAAAUCAGCAUGUGUGACAGAAAUACACUCACUGACCCAGUAAUUUCAGCAGCUCCCGUUAGGGGUCGCCACAGCGGACAAUCCGUGAUCCGCAUAUUUGACUUGGCACAGGUUUUACGCCGGAUGCCCUUCCUGACGCAACACACAGUGGCUGGGGACUGAACAUGUCCACAGUUAAUGUGAGGAAAUUCACCUGUAGUUAAUCUGAUUGAGGCAACUGUGUGAACUUGAUGGUAAUGGACAGAUUGAUCUCACAGUGAAAUCGGAAAGUAUGUCUCACAGUAUGUUGACUUUUCUCAAGCUAAAAUUGGUCUGUGUUUAUCGAAAUUCAAAACUCUGCCCCCAGUGGCCAAAGUGGUAAGUGUUUUUGGGCGAAUGGGCAAGUGUGAGCUCUGUUUUCAAGGUGAAAUGUCCAGAGAGGGGCGUCAAAUACAAGAUGUGAAGCGAGUUGUUUUCAACUGUGCAGGCUGUAAUACAGUGAAGAGGAAUGCAUAUUGUACAAACUGUAUCCCCAAACCCUAAACCUAACAAUCAGUGGAGUACAAAUGUAAUGCUAGAGGGGAAAAUGCAACCUCUGAAUUGCGUUCAUCACUGAUUAUACAAACUUAAUUACUUCUUGGUUUCAACACGGUAUCCAAACCUGGGUCUCCCAUGCUGCUGAAGCAACACUUCUGGUUGCACCACAGAGAAAUGUGAACAAAUUGGAGCUGAUGAAAAAAUGUCUGAUAGGAGAUGGCAGUUGUCAGUGAUUCUGCAAUGUGGCCGAUCCUAGGGUACUGGAACUCUUGUAAUUAACAUGCCAACAUCCUGUGUGAUCAUGUUGGGAUCAGUUAGUUACAAGUAAUAGCUUUUGGAAAAAAUAAUAUUGCAUUUGUUUGCUCAAAGAGGCCACUAUGUUCAUUAAAUCAGCAAAAAAAAAAAACUCAAUCUUUCAUCCUCCACAUUUGGUUAUGUUGUAAAAAAAAAUGUAAAAUGAAGGACUUGAGAAUGAGAAUAUUAAAGACCAGUAGACUGGACAUGUAAUUGUGAGUAAAAGGGGUAGGUUUGGAUUAACUGUGGGUGUAUGUGCGCCAGCUGUGGGUGUAUUGUAUGUUAAUGAAGUGGCGCAAAUCGCAAUUAGCUAUUUUCAUGAGAAAUAGGUCUCUGCGCUAAGACGUUUCAAAAGCAUGUCUGUUUUCAGUGCAAAAUCCAAACUCAAUUCCUGCAUUUGCAGUUUGGAGACUCCACCAGCAGGUGGUAAUAAAGAUCAUGUAUAAACUCUGAAAAUAUAGUGGAACAUCAAAUUAUGUUCCUGACAAUCACCGUUUUACAAAAAAAAAGGUAUGAGAUUUGUAUUAAACUAUCUACAAUAUAGGUCAUUGUUUAUUUUUCAACUAAUUUUAUCAUGUUUAUAUCUACAAUUGGAUUUAUGAUCUAAUUUGUAUUGGUAUUUUUCCACCUGUUGUCAUACAAAUAUUUUUGGUUUAAUGUUUUG